RNAcentral lists this long non-coding RNA (776 nucleotides) under Mytilus galloprovincialis (Mediterranean mussel). Lineage: Eukaryota; Metazoa; Mollusca; Bivalvia; Mytilida; Mytilidae. The record is from RNAcentral.
GUAAUUCAGUGGUUGUCGUUUGUGUAUGUGUUAGAUAUUUGUUUUUCGUGCAUUUUUUAGUUUUCUCGUUUGAAUUGUUUUACAUUGUCAUAUCGGGGCCUUUUAUAGCUGACUGUGCGAUAUGGGCUUUGCUCAUUGUUGAAGGCCGUACGGUGACCUAUAGUUGUUAAUGUCUGUGUCAUUUUGGUCUCUUGUGGACAGUUGUAUCAUUGGCAAUCAUACCACAUCUUCUUUUUCAUAUUAGCACAGUUUUACCUAUUGUGCUUUUGUUGUUCUUACUGUUUUUGUCCUAAACUAGCUGGGUUUUUUUUCUGAACCAAACAGAGAUCUAUACAUUACAAAAGUGUCGCCUGCUUUACGGACUAUAAUUGAUUAAUGGGUGAUAGUAUUGAAGAUACAGUUGGACUAAACUCAACAUCAUCAAUUAUCCAUGAUAAUGGGGACAAGGUCAGAUAAACCAUACCACACGGACAUGUACACCAUUUACAAUCGUUCUCUACACUAUGCAUAUAGAAUUGGCCUAUUGCUUAUAGUAUACGAGAAACAAACCAAAACCUGAAAGCUUUAUAUUGACAAAUUGACCAUGAAUAUUAGGUCAAGGGCAUUUAAUGUAUGACAGACAUGUACACCUUACAAUCAUUCCAUGCAUCAAAUAUGGUUGACCUAUAGUUGUUAAUGUCUGUGUCAUUUUGGUCUCUUGUGGACAGUUGUCUCACUGGCAAUCAUACCACAUCUUCUUUUUUAUAUUGACCUAUUACUCAAAGUAUCUAAUAAAC